GCCAGCAGCCAUAUCCAUGUCACCCUGCAACUCACCACUGGCAGCCCACUGAAGCUCAGCAGGUGUGAGCCUGGCUAGUACCUGGAUGAGAGACCUCCUGGGAAAAACUAAGGUUGCUGCUGGAA
Molecule: non-coding RNA, 125 nt
Organism: Lepisosteus oculatus (spotted gar)
Lineage: Eukaryota; Metazoa; Chordata; Actinopteri; Semionotiformes; Lepisosteidae
Source: Rfam